CGAACGAGAAGCGGGACUUCGGUUCCGUGGAAAGUGGCAGACGGGUGAGUAACGCGUGGGAACGUGCCCUUUGGUACGGAACAACUCCGGGAAACUGGAGCUAAUACCGUAUACGCCCUCCGGGGGAAAGAUUUAUCGCCGAAGGAUCGGCCCGCGUCGGAUUAGCUUGUUGGUGGGGUAAAAGCCUACCAAGGCGACGAUCCGUAGCUGGUCUGAGAGGAUGAUCAGCCACACUGGGACUGAGACACGGCCCAG
RNAcentral lists this ribosomal RNA (255 nucleotides) under uncultured bacterium. Its description in RNAcentral is "partial 16S ribosomal RNA". It matches the Rfam family "Bacterial small subunit ribosomal RNA", at positions 63 to 334 of the family's 1533-position model. The record is from RNAcentral.